CUAGCAAGCUCAAGGCCCUGGGUUCGAUCUUCAGCUCCAGAAACAAAAACAAAAACAAACUUCUGAGUGUCGGAAGUAUGCUUCAUUGAAUGAGGCAGGAUUUUUGCUAACACCAGUAGAGCGUGCCUCUAUGACUGGAGUUGAUAGUGGUCACUGCCACAUAU
This 164-nucleotide small nucleolar RNA is filed under the name Peromyscus maniculatus bairdii (prairie deer mouse). Lineage: Eukaryota; Metazoa; Chordata; Mammalia; Rodentia; Cricetidae. The record is from RNAcentral.